GAGUUUGAUCUUGGCUCAGAGCGAACGCUGGCGGCAGGCCUAAUACAUGCAAGUCGAACGCACCUUCGGGUGAGUGGCGGACGGGUGAGUAACGCGUGGGAACGUGCCCUUUGGUACGGAACAACUGAGGGAAACUUCAGCUAAUACCGUAUGUGCCCUUCGGGGGAAAGAUUUAUCGCCAUUGGAGCGGCCCGCGUUGGAUUAGCUAGUUGGUGGGGUAAUGGCCCACCAAGGCGACGAUCCAUAGCUGGUCUGAGAGGAUGAUCAGCCACACUGGGACUGAGACACGGCCCAGACUCCUACGGGAGGCAGCAGUAGGGAAUCUUGCGCAAUGGGCGAAAGCCUGACGCAGCCAUGCCGCGUGAAUGAUGAAGGUCUUAGGAUUGUAAAAUUCUUUCACCGGGGAAGAUAAUGACGGUACCCGGAGAAGAAGCCCCGGCUAACUUCGUGCCAGCAGCAGCCGCAGU
Molecule: ribosomal RNA, 467 nt
Filed under: uncultured Alphaproteobacteria bacterium
Lineage: Bacteria; Pseudomonadati; Pseudomonadota; Alphaproteobacteria
Description: bacterial SSU rRNA
Rfam family: Bacterial small subunit ribosomal RNA
Source: RNAcentral